GCAUAUCAAUAAGCGGAGGAAAAGAAACCAACCGGGAUUGCCUUAGUAACGGCGAGUGAAGCGGCAAAAGCUCAAAUUUGAAAUCUGGUACCUUCGGUGCCCGAGUUGUAAUUUGGAGAGGGCAACUUUGGGGCCGUUCCUUGUCUAUGUUCCUUGGAACAGGACGUCAUAGAGGGUGAGAAUCCCGUGUGGCGAGGAGUGCGGUUCUUUGUAAAGUGCCUUCGAAGAGUCGAGUUGUUUGGGAAUGCAGCUCUAAGUGGGUGGUAAAUUCCAUCUAAAGCUAAAUAUUGGCGAGAGACCGAUAGCGAACAAGUACAGUGAUGGAAAGAUGAAAAGAACUUUGAAAAGAGAGUGAAAAAGUACGUGAAAUUGUUGAAAGGGGAGGGCAUUUGAUCAGACAUGGUGUUUUGUGCCCUCUGCUCCUUGUGGGUAGGGGAAUCUCGCAUUACACUGGGCCAGCAUCAGUUUUGGUGGCAGGAUAAAUCCAUAGGAAUGUAGCUUGCCUCGGUAAGUAUUAUAGCCUGUGGGAAUACUGCCAGCUGGGACUGAGGACUGCGACGUAAGUCAAGGAUGCUGGCAUAAUGGUUAUAUGCCGCCCGUCUUGAAACACGGACC
Molecule: ribosomal RNA, 615 nt
Filed under: uncultured yeast
Lineage: Eukaryota; Fungi
Description: eukaryotic LSU rRNA
Rfam family: Eukaryotic large subunit ribosomal RNA
Source: RNAcentral